GACCCGUUAGCUCAGCUGGUAGAGCAAUUCCCUUUUAAGGAAUGGGCCGUUGGUUCAAGUCCAACACGGGUCACCA
Molecule: transfer RNA, 76 nt
Filed under: Helicobacter pylori
Lineage: Bacteria; Pseudomonadati; Campylobacterota; Epsilonproteobacteria; Campylobacterales; Helicobacteraceae
Description: tRNA-Lys
Rfam family: tRNA
About the family: Transfer RNA (tRNA) molecules are approximately 80 nucleotides in length.
Source: RNAcentral